GGUGAUUAUAGUUCAAUCGGUAGAACAGCUAGUUGUGGUCUAGUAUGUUCCCUGUUCGACUCAGGGUAUUCACC
Molecule: transfer RNA, 74 nt
Filed under: Ophiostoma himal-ulmi
Lineage: Eukaryota; Fungi; Ascomycota; Sordariomycetes; Ophiostomatales; Ophiostomataceae
Also listed under: 2 other names
Description: tRNA-His
Source: RNAcentral